CUUGCUUCUCUUGAGAGCGGCGGACGGGUGAGUAAUGCCUAGGAAUCUGCCUGGUAGUGGGGGAUAACGUUCGGAAACGGACGCUAAUACCGCAUACGUCCUACGGGAGAAAGCAGGGGACCUUCGGGCCUUGCGCUAUCAGAUGAGCCUAGGUCGGAUUAGCUAGUUGGUGGGGUAAUGGCUCACCAAGGCGACGAUCCGUAACUGGUCUGAGAGGAUGAUCAGUCACACUGGAACUGAGACACGGUCCAGACUCCUACGGGAGGCAGCAGUGGGGAAUAUUGGACAAUGGGCGAAAGCCUGAUCCAGCCAUGCCGCGUGUGUGAAGAAGGUCUUCGGAUUGUAAAGCACUUUAAGUUGGGAGGAAGGGUUGUAGAUUAAUACUCUGCAAUUUUGACGUUACCGACAGAAUAAGCACCGGCUAACUCUGUGCCAGCAGCCGCGGUAAUACAGAGGGUGCAAGCGUUAAUCGGAAUUACUGGGCGUAAAGCGCGCGUAGGUGGUUUGUUAAGUUGGAUGUGAAAUCCCCGGGCUCAACCUGGGAACUGCAUUCAAAACUGACUGACUAGAGUAUGGUAGAGGGUGGUGGAAUUUCCUGUGUAGCGGUGAAAUGCGUAGAUAUAGGAAGGAACACCAGUGGCGAAAGCGACCACCUGGACUAAUACUGACACUGAGGUGCGAAAGCGUGGGGAGCAAACAGG
This 701-nucleotide ribosomal RNA is filed under the name uncultured bacterium. RNAcentral describes it as "bacterial SSU rRNA". It matches the Rfam family "Bacterial small subunit ribosomal RNA", at positions 79 to 776 of the family's 1533-position model. The record is from RNAcentral.